UACGUAGGGGGCUAGCGUUGUCCGGAAUCAUUGGGCGUAAAGAGCGUGUAGGCGGCCCGGUAAGUCCGCUGUAAAAGUCAAAGGCUCAACCUUUGAAUGUCAGUGGAUACUGCCGGGCUAGAGUCCGGAAGAGGCGAGUGGAACUCCUGGUGUAGCGGUGGAAUGCGCAGAUAUCAGGAAGAACACCAACGGCGAAGGCAGCUCGCUGGGACGGAACUGACGCUAAGGCGCGAAAGCGUGGGGAGCGAACAGG
RNAcentral lists this ribosomal RNA (253 nucleotides) under uncultured bacterium. RNAcentral describes it as "partial 16S ribosomal RNA". It matches the Rfam family "Bacterial small subunit ribosomal RNA", at positions 524 to 776 of the family's 1533-position model. The record is from RNAcentral.